RNAcentral lists this ribosomal RNA (497 nucleotides) under uncultured bacterium. RNAcentral describes it as "partial 16S ribosomal RNA". It matches the Rfam family "Bacterial small subunit ribosomal RNA", at positions 28 to 507 of the family's 1533-position model. The record is from RNAcentral.
GAUGAACGCUGGCGGCGUGCCUAAUACAUGCAAGUCGAGCGAACAGAUAAGGAGCUUGCUCCUUUGACGUUAGCGGCGGACGGGUGAGUAACACGUGGGUAACCUACCUAUAAGACUGGAAUAACUCCGGGAAACCGGGGCUAAUGCCGGAUAACAUUUAGAACCGCAUGGUUCUAAAGUGAAAGAUGGUUUUGCUAUCACUUAUAGAUGGACCCGCGCCGUAUUAGCUAGUUGGUAAGGUAACGGCUUACCAAGGCAACGAUACUUAGCCGACCUGAGAGGGUGAUCGGCCACACUGGAACUGAGACACGGUCCAGACUCCUACGGGAGGCAGCAGUAGGGAAUCUUCCGCAAUGGGCGAAAGCCUGACGGAGCAACGCCGCGUGAGUGAUGAAGGUCUUCGGAUCGUAAAACUCUGUUAUUAGGGAAGAACAAAUGUGUAAGUAACUGUGCACGUCUUGACGGUACCUAAUCAGAAAGCCACGGCUAACUACGUG